Long non-coding RNA from Trichechus manatus latirostris (Florida manatee), 385 nucleotides. RefSeq lists it as uncharacterized. The transcript has 3 exons. Lineage: Eukaryota; Metazoa; Chordata; Mammalia; Sirenia; Trichechidae. The record is from RefSeq and is a predicted model, not a curated record.
ACCCACGACCUAGUACUUAAUACAGAAUACACAAUGAGGAGGGAACCUCUCAUGCAUUGCCCACUUGUUUCUGGCUGGAUGCCGAUCUGCUUGAACUAAGUAUACAGGGAAAAGGAUAUAAUAGGAAACAAUAGCAUCUCCUAACCCAUCAUCCCAUUACGUGUAUUAUGGAUAUACUGACCUGCAGAUUUGUGGCCUCUUGUGGAGCUAGGAGGACUGGGGAAAGACCACAUGAUGCUGAGAAAUUAUCCUGAAGAGAGCACUCAAAAGACAUGAUUGUGCACAGUUCGCAUUCUUCAGGAGAGGAAGCUCAUUGUUUCAGAAGAUCUUCCUGUCAAAUCUGUCAGAGGGCAUUGCAGGAACCUCCCCCCUGCCUGUGAACUGA